UACGAAGGGGGCGAGCGUUGUUCGGAAUCACUGGGCGUAAAGGGUGCGUAGGCGGUCGGGUAAGUCUGAUGUGAAAUCUCACAGCUUAACUGUGAAACUGCAUUGGAUACUAUUCGGCUCGAGGGUUGGAGGGGGGACUGGAAUACUUGGUGUAGCAGUGAAAUGCGUAGAUAUCAAGUGGAACACCAGUGGCGAAGGCGAGUCCCUGGACAACUCCUGACACUGAGGCACGAAAGCUAGGGGAGCAAACAGG
Molecule: ribosomal RNA, 253 nt
Filed under: uncultured bacterium
Lineage: Bacteria
Description: partial 16S ribosomal RNA
Rfam family: Bacterial small subunit ribosomal RNA
Source: RNAcentral